Grammomys surdaster is the source of this 648-nucleotide long non-coding RNA. RefSeq lists it as uncharacterized. NCBI's taxonomy places the organism in Eukaryota, Metazoa, Chordata, Mammalia, Rodentia, Muridae. The record is from RefSeq and is a predicted model, not a curated record. The transcript has 4 exons.
AGGGCAUUCACACCUCUGUGAGCUCUUAUUUCCCAAACCCAGGCUCCAGCUCAGCAGACACCUUCAAGCAAGGUGACUCUUUGGUCUGGGGUCUUCACAUCAAGCUGGAAGAAUUCAGAGCCCCUCACAGCCACACAGCUGAUGAUCACCAGAGAGUUCUAUAGAAUUGAAAACAGGGACCAUACAAAAACUAGUCCACAAACAGCAAACUGACUUCUUGUCGUCAAAAGGGGAAAGCAUAAAUUCUAUCAACCAAUGAAUCAAUCCGUAAAAUUGACAGUCUACAGUACAGAAUACUAUUGAGCCAUAGAAACAUACUACAAAGAUAGAACUUCAAGAUAUGAUAAAUGAAAGAAGCCAGACUGAAGAGCCAAAGGCUGCGUUGCUGUCACCUGAGUGAGGUAACUCAGACCCAAAAGGACAUGCAUGACAGGAACCUACCAUGGCAGCUCUCCAAGAGGCCCAACAAACAGCUGAAAGAGCCAGAUGAAGAUACUUAUACCCAACCAAUAGACAGAAACCUGGGAUCCCUGUAGUUGAAUUCAUGAAAAGCUGGAAGAAGCUGAGGAGAAGGAUGACCCCAUAGGAAGACCAGCAGUCUCAACUAACCUGGACCCCCAGGAUCUCUGACACUGAGCCACCAACCAG